Molecule: long non-coding RNA, 154 nt
Organism: Sander lucioperca (pikeperch)
Lineage: Eukaryota; Metazoa; Chordata; Actinopteri; Perciformes; Percidae
Exons: 3
Source: RefSeq, a predicted model, not a curated record
AUAUCGAUAGUAUCGAUACCAAGAUGAGUAUUGGUAUCGGAUCGAUACUGUCGUGAUGAGAUCGAUACUUUUGUUGCAGUUUCUCUCCUGAGUUCAUGCGAGCACAGCGUCUCUCCAAGUCUGUGCGCAUAUCUUUUUACAUUCAUAUUUUUAC